CAGGCUUCACUAGCAGGGCCCCAUUUGCCCCUUAGCGAUCCUGCGGGGAGACACCAGGACAGGUGUGGAGAGUGAGGGUGGUCAGAAGUCACAGGGUGUGGCAGGCAGGGCCAGAGCCACAGCCAUGGUGCUUCUGAGUAGAGAAAUGGCCUCUACCGCAACCUCCUCCCAGAGCAAAUUUCAGAUUCACUCCUCACUCCAGAAGCCCCAAACCGGGGAUUCCUGUUGGACUGGAUGUGCUGAAGCCCCUUUCCAAGCCCUGUGUGGCCUUUUUUGUGUGGGUUCCCUGCAGGGGACUUUUGUUGUUGUUGUUUUGUUUUGUUUUGUGUGUUUGUUCUCCCCCUGCCUUGGGUCUUUACUGACAAAAAACAAAACAAAAAAACCCCACAACACAACAACAACAAACAAAACAAAACAAAAAAAACCAA
This 428-nucleotide long non-coding RNA is filed under the name Rattus norvegicus (Norway rat). RNAcentral's name for it is "long non-coding RNA NONRATT019999". Lineage: Eukaryota; Metazoa; Chordata; Mammalia; Rodentia; Muridae. The record is from RNAcentral.